RNAcentral lists this long non-coding RNA (377 nucleotides) under Coccomyxa subellipsoidea. Its description in RNAcentral is "long non-coding RNA (CSUB_LNC000235)". The record is from RNAcentral. Lineage: Eukaryota; Viridiplantae; Chlorophyta; Trebouxiophyceae; Coccomyxaceae.
CCUCAAACCACUUGAUUGCAGGAAGAUCUCGCAAGUCAGAAAUGUAAAUGUGGGUACGAAGAAGAGAAUAAUAGCUCCGAUGGUCCAUCUUGCCUGCUUCAAAGGAGUAAUGAAUACUGGGCCACUGGAAUGGGUGAUGUGCAAAGUCCAGGAGUCGUCUGGCAGCUUGACUUACCGCAUAGGAUUUCCGCUUCCUAAGUAUCUUUGAUGGAGUUGAGUGCGUUCCCCGACUUUCAGCGCAUCCUGGUGGAGGCACACUGAAGGGUAUCAUUCAGUCACGAGAUUGUUGAUCAUCUCUUAUGUGCUGCAAGUGCGAUCUACUCUCCAUCUAGGAUCAAGGCAUAGUGUGGCCAAUAUCCUCCGCCUCGCAUUUGGGG